UACGUAGGGUGCAAGCGUUAAUCGGAAUUACUGGGCGUAAAGCGUGCGCAGGCGGUGAUGUAAGACAGUUGUGAAAUCCCCGGGCUCAACCUGGGAACUGCAUCUGUGACUGCAUCGCUGGAGUGCGGCAGAGGGGGAUGGAAUUCCGCGUGUAGCAGUGAAAUGCGUAGAUAUGCGGAGGAACACCGAUGGCGAAGGCAAUCCCCUGGACCUGUACUGACGCUCAUGCACGAAAGGCGUGGGGAGCAAACAGG
RNAcentral lists this ribosomal RNA (254 nucleotides) under uncultured bacterium. Its description in RNAcentral is "partial 16S ribosomal RNA". It matches the Rfam family "Bacterial small subunit ribosomal RNA", at positions 524 to 776 of the family's 1533-position model. The record is from RNAcentral.